Molecule: long non-coding RNA, 1783 nt
Organism: Papaver somniferum (opium poppy)
Lineage: Eukaryota; Viridiplantae; Streptophyta; Magnoliopsida; Ranunculales; Papaveraceae
Exons: 6
Source: RefSeq, a predicted model, not a curated record
CCCACGUUUCACCCGAGAAGCAAAAUAAAUCCCCACUCCUAGUCCCCCUCAACUAUCUUCUUCUUUUUUUCUUCGACCAUGUAUCUCAGAGAAACAAACACUGAUACUUUAAACCUCUCUACACGUAAAAGAAAUGUUGCAGGUUCGAAUUGAAGAAAUCAAACAAUUUAUUUAUUUUGCUGGAAUGCUUCAUUGACUUAUACCUCGGGUUGUAUGUCCGACAAGAUGGAAAUAAAAUUUUCUACUUGUUCCUUUAAUUUUCUGGUACGAUUCUCCUUUAAUUUCAGUUUUAGUUUGUGAUUCACCCGAAUUCGCUAUUUAUUUACUUAUAAGUUUCUGUAUUAUUAUACUAGAGCGCAUGAUCUGUGUUUGAGAAAAUUACAAACUGAAAUUCGGAUUAUAUUUUGUGGUAAAUCAAUCCAGUUCAUUAUAUAGAACAAGGACAAAGAAUUCUGAUUGUGUUAAUCCAUGGUCGGUGCUUCUACAUUUCAAUUUCAUUGGAGGUUUAAAUUUUUUCCUUUCUAUUUUUCAUGCUGAUGGAGUAAAGAUAAGUAGAUUGUAUGAACUUAGAAACGUAUGUAUAUACCGUUGUUCAAAAUAUUUCAAUCAAUUAUGAGAUCAAAUAUCAUCAGUUAGUUCAAUUUUAUUUUGUUGUAGCACUAUAAAUUCGAGAAUUGCAACUUUUAGUGUUUGUUUUGAAGUUUUACUUAACUUCACAUUAUUUUCCUCAACUAAAUGGAAUAAAUUUUGGUCAGUGAUUGAAUGAGUGUAAUAUUUAUUAUUUAAGGAUUGAUCUUGGUUAUAUAGUCUUGUAAUGUAUAAACAAAUAUUUACGAAAUGUAUGUGGUAGAGUUAUUGGGAUUCGGAUGGAGCGAUAAACCAUUUAUCAAGGAUGAUGCAAUGGUAUUAGAAAGGGUUGAAUGCAUUCUUAGAUCACGCCUACAUCCAAGUAAUUUCAGGUGGCAGAUGAUCAGAAGCCUGGGAGGAUGAGCAUAAUAACCACAGGCCGAUGAGAUGGAGCUGGUCUUAUAUGUUGGUGGCGACAUAGAGAGAUUAAACCCCGAGGAAGAACAAUGGGAAUUAGUUAAAGAGCUUAGAGUUCCAAAAAUACAAUCCUGAUUCUCAAGGCUCUCUAAAUUUCUUGUACAGAUAUCAACACCAGACUUGCAGUUGCAGGAACAUUGUAAGAAAAACAAGAAGAUCGGAUACAUGGACCCGGAGUAUAUUAUACGAGGAACAUCCACUAACAAAAUGAUGUAUACAACUUCGGAGUGGUGGCCCUAGAGCUUAUGACUGGAAACAACAGAUUGCAGUGGAAAAUGAAGCUUGAAGCUACUUAUAGAUUCGCUGAUGCUCAAGGCUCUCUAAUUUCAUUAAAUUUAUGUUAGGCGGAAAAGAAUUUUAAUUGAUAAAUCUGAAGGGGCAACAACCAAGUAUUAUUGGGGGUGAAAUUCAGGAAAAUACCUUUAAAGCUGCUGUGAGGUCUAGUGGUGGCAGUAGAAAAUCCUAGGAUGCACCUCUUGACUAUAGAGUAAAUGAAGCAAGUACAGAUGGAGAACUCGUGCAAACUUAAUAUUCGUUAAAGUAAAUUUACCCACGUAAUCUUGAUUAAAGUAAAUUCACCCCUAAAGUUGUUCCUUUUCUAGUACCUCUUGUCAAUCAUGAUUUUGUUUCGUUUCAAUAUCAAGAAUUGGCGAUUGUAUAAUUUGACUUAGUAGCUUAUUUGUGUUUUAAAUCGUUAUGUAUUUUAUUUUCAUUAAUAAAUGAAUGAAAGCUUUUAAUA